GCAUUAAAUGCAUUGCUAAUGAUCUGAAAUUGUGAAGUAAAUGCAUUGGUUAUGAUCUAAAAUUGUGAAUUAAAUGCAUUGGUGUUGAACUGAAAUUGUGAAUAAAUGUAUAUGUGAUGACAACCAUACUUUGAUGAUUAAACAAUCUUUAAUCACAUAUUUUGUGAUGGAUUCAAUUGUCUUGGUUUCAAGAGUGUCUACUUGCAUGUUCUUGCUAUUCUUCUUUGCUGGUACUUGCAUUGUGAAAUGAACAAUGCCAUUUUUCCACCAAGCAAUAUUUUUCCAUUAUCUACAAUUAAUGGUCUUAAGACAACAUACAUGAACAUAAUUUUUUAGAUGAAUUUCUUGCUUUACAUGUCCUAUGCAUUCAUACUUUACAUGUCCUAUGUGGCUCGGGCUCUUCGGGUGCUAAGUAGAAUUUGUGUGAACAUCGAGUAAUAUAAAAUUAUUUCUCAUCGAUAUGCAUUAUUUUGUACAUAUUCAUAAACUUGAUUUUGUAGACAAUCCUGUUCAAUUCCAAGGAUUUGAGAGAGAAUCUCAACCUUAACAACUUGUUUGGAGCUUAUAAUUCAAGUUUUAUGGUAGAUGACAGAUGUGUUUGCACCCAUCUUCCUACGGUGCUUUUACUCUAUCUUAAUCCACUUGCUGAUUUCCUAAUCGUGCUUCUAUUCGUAUAUUUUGGAUUUGAAAGUAAAGAGGUGAACUAUCAUUUCCUUGUGUUGUUAAUCUUACCACUAACAAGAUGAAUGACAUCCUCAUUUGCUUGUUGUUUCUUCGCAAUUGCCCACAAUUGAGUAAUGCUCGACCGAGAGAUGGAGAAUUUCAGUUGGGUUUUCAAAACAGCUUGCCUCGAUGUUGAUUUCUAUCGAUGCAACCUUCAAGGAUGAAUUGGACGCAUUGAUUUCAUUUCUCAGUCAAAAGAUCUCUUCUCAUCAUUUUUGUUCACUCUUGUCUUGUGGUUGCACCAGAUCAAAUUUUGUACUUAUUUAUAGAGCUUUUCUUUUCUGUUGUUAUUUUUAGCUUUGUAGUCUUUGGUGGGAACUUGAAAUAUUUUGCCUUAAAAAUGUAGAGGCAAAAUUGAAUUCUAUCGUUUGUUGGAUUGUGGAACUAGAACUUUGGUUUUGAUAUGUGAAAUGCAC
This 1139-nucleotide long non-coding RNA is filed under the name Salvia miltiorrhiza (redroot sage). Its description in RNAcentral is "long non-coding RNA (SMIL_LNC003191)". Lineage: Eukaryota; Viridiplantae; Streptophyta; Magnoliopsida; Lamiales; Lamiaceae. The record is from RNAcentral.